This 256-nucleotide ribosomal RNA is filed under the name uncultured bacterium. RNAcentral describes it as "partial 16S ribosomal RNA". It matches the Rfam family "Bacterial small subunit ribosomal RNA", at positions 524 to 776 of the family's 1533-position model. The record is from RNAcentral.
UACGGGGGGAGCAAGCGUUGUUCGGAUUUACUGGGCGUAAAGGGCGCGUAGGCGGCCACCGCAAGUCGACUGUGAAAUCUCCGGGCUUAACCCGGAAAGGUCAGCCGAUACUGCGGGGCUAGAGUGCAGAAGGGGCAACUGGGAAUUCUCGGUGUAGCGGUGAAAUGCGUAGAUAUCGAGAGGAACACCUGCGGCGAAGGCGGGUUGCUGGGCUGACACGUGACGCUGAGGCGCGAAAGCUAGGGGAGCGAACGGG